GAUGAACGCUGGCGGCGUGCUUAACACAUGCAAGUCGGACGGACACAUCUUUCGGGGUGUGUUAGUGGCAGACGGGUGCGUAACACGUAGGUAACCUGCCCUGGAGUGGGGAAUAAUUCCGCUAACGCGGGACUAAUACCGCAUAGGCUCGGUAGCGUGAGGCUACUGCGUAAAGCUGAGAGGCGCUUCAGGAUGGGCCUGCGGCGGAUUAGCUAGUUGGUAAGGUAACGGCUUACCAAGGCGACGAUCAGUAGCCGACCUGAGAGGGUGACCGGCCACACUGGGACUGAGACACGGGCCAGACUCCUACGGGAGGCAGCAGUGAGGAAUAUUGGACAAUGGGCGCAAGCCUGAUCCAGCAAUGCCGCGUGCAGGAUGAAGGCCUUCGGUUGUAAACUGCUUUGUUACGGAACGAAACGGUAGAGCUCUAAUAAAGACUUGCUAAUGACGGUACCGUAAGAAUAAGACACCGGCUAACUACGUGCCAGCAGCCGCGGUAAA
This 501-nucleotide ribosomal RNA is filed under the name uncultured bacterium. RNAcentral's name for it is "bacterial SSU rRNA". It matches the Rfam family "Bacterial small subunit ribosomal RNA", at positions 28 to 524 of the family's 1533-position model. The record is from RNAcentral.